CUGCUGGCUUCAGCAGUACAUAUACAAAAAAAAAAAAAAAGAAAAAAACGUAACAACACAAUUGAGAAGAUUAGCAUGGUCCCUGAGCAAGGAUGACAUGCAAAUUCUUGACACAUUCCUUAUUUUU
RNAcentral lists this small nuclear RNA (127 nucleotides) under Mus spretus (western wild mouse). The record is from RNAcentral. Lineage: Eukaryota; Metazoa; Chordata; Mammalia; Rodentia; Muridae.